Paramuricea clavata is the source of this 1036-nucleotide non-coding RNA. The record is from the annotation of a GenBank genome assembly. Lineage: Eukaryota; Metazoa; Cnidaria; Anthozoa; Malacalcyonacea; Plexauridae.
CACUGAAUACUGUACAAUAACAUGUAUAACAAACAAUAAUAAUACUUGAAUGAAUCAUUGGAUAUGUAGAAUUUAAUUAAAAUUUCAUACAUAAAAAUACUACCAGUAAGGGCCUGUUCAUAUGGGCAAAAGUUAUCCGUGUUAGCGAGAACACUUUUCAACAAGUUUACAAGCGAGAUCUCACCUUGGUAUGAAAAUAUUAUGAAAAGUUACAUUGCGUUCAUAUGAGACAACAACUUUUUCCGUGUACCGAGAUCUCGGUGACCGGGAUAAUGUUUUUCCCAUAUGAACACAACUUUCCCGCUUAGCGGGAUGACUUUCUGUUGUGUCAGCAACUUUUCAGUUCAAUUCAUGUUCGGCGCUAUGUCAUAGCUGGAUUUAUUUAGAAAUUUAUUGGAAUUAUUUAGCAAUAUUUCACCGUUUCCCGUUGGCGGGAAUAUUUUAUGAUUCCUGUGUAAUGUAUUUAUAGGCAUGACCCGCGCUAGCUUUGUUCAUGUGAACAGAAGAUAUCAAUACCCCGGGUCAAUGACUUGUCGCGGGGCAGUUGUUUAUCCCGGGAUCAUGUGAACAGGGCCUUAAACCGAUAUAACUUUUGCCCAUAUGAACAAGCCCUUUGAAGUCAGUUUUGUUCCAACUACUGUAUCAUUUUAAUGGCACCUUCAAGGCUACCCCUACUGUAGAACAACUGAACAAUGAAUCUGCCAAUCGGGAGACAAAAUCUAUUUUGUUGACAUUUUUGUUUAAUACAUCAGCUUCAGAUGACCAUUAUUUGUAAUGACUAUAUAUAUAAUAAGAAAGAAAUUGUGAGCAUUAUUGUAUACAAUUGCAUGUGUUUUCCAAUGUGGGCAUCAUACAUUCAUACUGCUCGAUUUAAUAGUAGUCAUCGCCCAGGAAAAUAAAACAACUGCAAAUGGCCACUAUUGAAAUUGUCCCAGGUCAUGCAAUGACUAUUAAUUAAGACCAGUAUUUCUCGCAGGCAUCAAGCCUUGAGACUUCAUUAUGCAUAAGUUAUUUGAUAUACAGUAAAACCCCACCA